RNAcentral lists this ribosomal RNA (500 nucleotides) under uncultured bacterium. Its description in RNAcentral is "partial 16S ribosomal RNA". It matches the Rfam family "Bacterial small subunit ribosomal RNA", at positions 30 to 523 of the family's 1533-position model. The record is from RNAcentral.
AUUGAACGCUGGCGGCAUGCUUUACACAUGCAGGCCGAACGGUAACAGGGUGCUCGCACCGCUGACGAGUGGCGAACGGGUGAGUAAUGCGUCGGAACGUGCCGAGUAGUGGGGGAUAACGCAGCGAAAGUUGUGCUAAUACCGCAUACGUACUGAGGUAGAAAGUGGGGGACCUUCGGGCCUCACGCUAUUCGAGCGGCCGACGUCUGAUUAGCUAGUAGGUGAGGUAAAGGCUCACCUAGGCGACGAUCAGUAGCGGGUCUGAGAGGAUGAUCCGCCACACGGGGACUGGGACACGGCCCAGACUCCUACGGGAGGCAGCAGUGGGGAAUUUUGGACAAUGGGCGAAAGCCUGAUCCAGCCAUGCCGCGUGUCUGAAGAAGGCCUUCGGGUUGUAAAGGACUUUUGUCAGGGAGGAAAUCCCUAGUGAUAAUAACACUGGGGGAUGACAGUACCUGAAGAAUAAGCACCGGCUAACUACGUGCCAGCAGCCGCAGUAA